Molecule: non-coding RNA, 359 nt
Organism: Sturnus vulgaris (Common starling)
Lineage: Eukaryota; Metazoa; Chordata; Aves; Passeriformes; Sturnidae
Source: RefSeq, a predicted model, not a curated record
GCUUUGUGGGAAAUAAGAUGCUGCCCUGGCUAACGUGCUCUUCCCUGUUUGCAGGUUAGGAGGGGCCUCAGGCUGGACAGCAGCUCAGGUUCCUGGUGCUGCAGGCUCGGAGGUUGUGCUUGCCAUCGAGGGACGUCUCCCCCCUUCGGAAGAGGCAGUUCCAGCCCAUCCCUCACCAUCGUGAACUGUGACCGAUCUCCACCUCCUGCUGCACCUGAGAGCUCCCCUGGACACCGCGGUGCCCCCAGGCCAUUGCAUGUCCCCUCGGUGUGUUCCCUGCCGUGACCAGACCUGUCCCACCCGGCUCAGCGAGCCACGGGAGGCUCAAAAAGCAUCGAAACAAAGCUGACAGGACACUG